This is an RNA transcript of Triticum dicoccoides, 3176 nucleotides long. RefSeq lists it as uncharacterized. The transcript has 2 exons. The record is from RefSeq and is a predicted model, not a curated record. NCBI's taxonomy places the organism in Eukaryota, Viridiplantae, Streptophyta, Magnoliopsida, Poales, Poaceae.
UCCCCUCCACGAUCAAAUUGUGCCAAGCUAAGGAUAGGAUAGGAUAGGAUGGUUUGCAUCGCACUCCUUUGGGCGUUCCUCCUCUUUCCAUGUGUAGCACCUGUCGCGUGCCUCCCCUCCACGAUCGAAAUAAGCCCGACGGCAGCGCGGGUGCUACUCCCCUGGGGCUUGUCCAGCAGUGCAAGCGUGGGCUCGAGCCUCGCGCUCUGCCCCAGCCUCCCAGCCACUCCGGCAAUCGGUAAGCCUCCUCUCCCGCCCCGUCCGCGGCACCUCCAUUGGCAAGACUUGGAGCCCUGCGGCCGCGGACAGGUAAAAUCUUGGCGCGGGGAGUACGGAGAAUCGGAGCGUCAUGGAGGAUCCAUCCAACUCGAUCUGGGCGGCAACUCCCAGUGCCAGAGACAUGGAGGAACCAUCCAACCACCAUGCCCGAUGGAUCCUCAGCAGCAAGUCCGCAUCCCCGCAGAGAUCUCGUGAAUCCGAGGUAUGAUUUUCAUGGAUGACGAUUCGAGUAAGGCAGGGAUUGUCGCAUCCAAGUAAGUGGAUGAAUCGAAAUGGAUCUGCACCAAGCCCGUCUAGCUCAGUUGGUAGAGCGCAAGGCUCUUAACCUUGUGGUCGUGGGUUCGAGCCCCACGGUGGGCGAUUUCAAUUUUUUCCAUCUUUUGGUUUGAGUUACUUAUUUUCUUUCCCUUUUCUGAAAAAACUACUAUCAUUUCAGCCUGAAGUCUCUGACAGAAGCGAAGCUCCUUUCCAGAGCAAACCUCCCUCACACUAUGUGCAGCUGUGGUGAACGUGUUUUGCUCAUGUUUGAAUUACAUCUCUUCAUGCUUGCCGAUGUUCAUGUAACGACUUUACAUUUUAGUGACUUCAGGCGAUUCAUGUAGAUUCUGUUGCAUGCACCAUUACCAUGCCUUGGGAGUACUACCUCAUCCGGGUUUAUUAGGUCCCUAGUAUUUUGAGCCAAAUUUUCAUCAUUCAUAUGACUAACAAAAUAUAGAUUCUAUGCUACAAAAAGUACACUAUUGGAUUGGAUUUGUAUUUGAAAGAGCUUUUCGAAGGCAUAAUUUUUAUGACAUAUAGUUUACAUUUUAUUAGUUAAAUUUGUUGAUUAAACUUUAGCCCAAAAUGAGAGGAGGUCUAAUAAAUCCGGACGGAUGUACUCCCUCCGUUCCAAAAUAGAUGACUCAACUUUGUACUAAUUUUGCUACAAAGUUAGUACAAAGUUGGGUCAUCUAUUUUGGAACGGAGGGAAUAGUAUUUUUGUUAGUGGUGCAUUCCCAAGAUUUCUGUUCCAUUUUGCUCUAGUUACUUAGGUCUACAUUGUGAACGCGAAAUUGAUAUGCAAAGCCCGUCUAGCUCAGUUGGUAGAGCGCAAGGCUCUUAACCUUGUGGUCGUGGGUUUGAGCCCCACAGUGGGUGCUUCCAUAUAUUUUUUUUUGGAAAACUACCAUCAUUCAGCCUGAAGUUUCUGAUUCUGACAGAAACGAACCUCCUUUCCAGAACAAACACCACUGCUAAUCCCGCCAUGUCAACCAUGGUGAACGAGGUCAGGAGCUACCUGACCCGAGAUCGAGAGAUCUUGUGUGCUACGGGCUACCCAUGCCCGUGGUCAGAGCGGGUUCGAGCCAUGUGAGCUCACUGUCCGUGCCAUCAUUUAGUUGCUGAUGUUUGUGUUCGAACUAAGGUUCGAAACAUGUGAGGUCAUGUUCGCAACUGAAAAUGUCUUCAUGCUUGCGGAUGUUCGUGUAACUUUGGUGCUUCUGCAAGUUGCUAGAAGCCCGGAAGGAUGCAGAACCGACUUUUACAUUUUAUGGCUGCCUUUCAUAUAAUUUCCGUUGCAUGAACCAUUGCCAUGCCUGGAAAAAAAAUUGGUUAGUGCUGCAUUUUUAUGAUGUAACCGUUCCAUUCUGCUGUAGUUGCUCUCUCUUUGAACAUUGAACGUAGAAGCAGCAUGUCAGGCCCGUCUAGCUCAGUUGGUAGAGCGCAAGGCUCUUAACCUUGUGGUCGUGGGUUCGAGCCCCACGGUGGGCGCUUCCAUUCUUUAGUGUUUUUUGCAAAACUACAAUCAUUCAGGCUGAAGUUUCUGAUUCUGACAGAAACGAAGCUCCUUUCCAGAGCAAAUAUCACUGCUCAUCCCGCCAUGUCAACCAUGCUGAACGAGGUCAGGAGCUACCUUUUUUUUUGAGCCGGACAUUACCCCUUUCCAUUACUUUUCAUAACGGAAAUAACAUCAGUUCGACUUGAGAGCUACCUGCCCGAGAUCGAGAGAUCUUGUGUGCUACGGGCUACCGAUGCCCGUGGUCAGAGCAGGUUCGAGCCAUGUGAGCUCACUACUGUCCGUACCAUUGUUUAGUUGCUGAUGUUUGUGUUUGAACUAAGGUUCGAAACAUGUGAGGUCAUGUUUGAACUAAAUCUCUUCAUGCUUUGUGGAUGUUUGUGUAACUUCGGUGCUCUGGAAGUUGCUGGAAUCCCGGAAGGAUGCAGAAGCGACUUUACAUUUUAUGACUGACCUUCAUAUAAUUUCCGUUGCAUAAACCAUUGCCAUGCCUGGAAUGUUUUUUUUUCUGGUUAGUGCUGCAUUUUUAAGAUUGAACUGUUCCAUUCUGCUGUACUUACUCUCUGUGUAAAUUUCGAACGUAGAAGCAGCAGCAUGUCAGGCCCGUCUAGCUCAGUUGGUAGAGCGCAAGGCUCUUAUCCUUGUGCUCGUGGGUUCGAGCCCCACGGUGGGCGAUUCACUGUUUUUUCGUACUCUUUUGAAUUUCGGGAAUAGUUUUUUUUUUGCAUCAAAUUUUCAGGAAUAGUUGAGUUAUUUGCUUUCCCUUCUUUGGAUAACUACAAUCAUUUCACUUGUAUUUAGGAACGGAGGGAGUAUAUUUAUCGAGCCGAGGAGCUACCUGACUGGAGAUCGACAGAUUUGUGUGCUAACAGCUAAGGCUUGCCCAAGGUUGAGCCGUGAGCUCGCUUCCUUUCAAAGAGUCCAGGCUUGUACGAGCCUAACCACGACAGUUCCCAAGGACUGUAGCAGCCGCUCGAGAGUCAUUUUCCAAAAAUGUAGCAUCCAAAUUUAAUAUAUAAACCUUGCUGGAGGUUUCUCCCAUUUAACAACCACCUCAUUACUCUGGAGUGGACACUUUGCAAAAUUUGAUGUGAUUGUGUUUAUACUUCUGGGAUCCUGGACA